CUACGGUUAGACUACGAAGGUUUGUACAAUUUAUGAAAAUUAAAACAAAUUUGAAUGUCAUAUCACAAAGUUGUCACAUGACAAUGUCGCGUGUUGUUUAUGAAAUGGAAUAAAUAAAAAAUGCGGUCCAACAAAAUUUUAAAUGAGAACUCAGAAAUGAAGUAAUGUGCUGGGGUAACGUGUAUAUCAGCAAUGAUGCUAUAAGUACCGUAGCACAGAUAAUCUUUUGUGUAGUUUUCUGCGCCCUCGGCCUCAUAGCCUUGUUCGUCCUGGUAAUUAGUGACGUUAUUUAGUGAAAACGUAACGUGAUGUUGAAAAGCGAAAUGUAUGGACGUAUAUUGACGUGGAAAAAAGAUCUACAUGUAAUGGAUAACAUGUUUAUUUAUUUCGAUAUACAUUUUUGUGGUUUUUAUGUAAAUUGUGCUUCUAUUUUUAAUAA
Colias croceus (clouded yellow) is the source of this 439-nucleotide long non-coding RNA. RefSeq lists it as uncharacterized. NCBI's taxonomy places the organism in Eukaryota, Metazoa, Arthropoda, Insecta, Lepidoptera, Pieridae. The transcript has 3 exons. The record is from RefSeq and is a predicted model, not a curated record.